Molecule: ribosomal RNA, 433 nt
Filed under: uncultured bacterium
Lineage: Bacteria
Description: partial 16S ribosomal RNA
Rfam family: Bacterial small subunit ribosomal RNA
Source: RNAcentral
AACGAACGCUGGCGGCAUGCCUAACACAUGCAAGUCGAACGAGACCUUCGGGUCUAGUGGCGCACGGGUGCGUAACGCGUGGGAACCUGCCCUUAGGUUCGGAAUAACUCCCCGAAAGGGGUGCUAAUACCGGAUAAUGUCUUCGGACCAAACAUUUAUCGCCUUUGGUUGGGCCCGCGUUGGAUUAGCUAGUUGGUAGGGUAAAAGCCUACCAAGGCGACGAUCCAUAGCUGGGUUGAGAGGAUGAUCAGCCACACUGGGACUGAGACACGGCCCAGACUCCUACGGGAGGCAGCAGUGGGGAAUAUUGGACAAUGGGCGAAAGCCUGAUCCAGCAAUGCCGCGUGAGUGAUGAAGGCCUUAGGGUUGUAAAGCUCUUUUACCCGGGAUGAUAAUGACAGUACCGGGAGAAUAAGCCCCGGCUAACUCCGUG